This 357-nucleotide ribosomal RNA is filed under the name Triticum aestivum (bread wheat). RNAcentral describes it as "partial small subunit ribosomal RNA". The record is from RNAcentral. Lineage: Eukaryota; Viridiplantae; Streptophyta; Magnoliopsida; Poales; Poaceae.
AUGGCAAAAUAUUUUUGGAGCAGUUCUCUGGAUAAAAAUUCUAUGCACUGGGUGUCCUGGAACGAGUUGGCCACACCUAAGUGCAAAGGAGGGAUGGGGUUUCGUGACCCGCAUCAGUUUAAUCUUGCCAUGCUGGGCAAACAGGGUUGGCGAUUAAUGACAAACCCCACAUCGCUGUGUGCUAGAGUGCUCAAGGGUCGCUAUUUUCCCGACGGAGAUUUUAUGCACGCAUCUGAUCCAAAGUCGGCCUCAGCCACUUGGAAGGCAAUCGUGGCGGGAAAGGAGGCUCUAGGGGCAGGGCUGAUCGCUCGAGUGGGAGAUGGCAGCACGAUUUCAGUGUGGAAUGACAAAUGGAUU